RNAcentral lists this ribosomal RNA (775 nucleotides) under Bifidobacterium longum subsp. infantis. RNAcentral describes it as "bacterial SSU rRNA". It matches the Rfam family "Bacterial small subunit ribosomal RNA", at positions 194 to 983 of the family's 1533-position model. Lineage: Bacteria; Bacillati; Actinomycetota; Actinomycetes; Bifidobacteriales; Bifidobacteriaceae. The record is from RNAcentral.
UCUUCUGGGAAAGCUUUCGCGGUAUGGGAUGGGGUCGCGUCCUAUCAGCUUGACGGCGGGGUAACGGCCCACCGUGGCUUCGACGGGUAGCCGGCCUGAGAGGGCGACCGGCCACAUUGGGACUGAGAUACGGCCCAGACUCCUACGGGAGGCAGCAGUGGGGAAUAUUGCACAAUGGGCGCAAGCCUGAUGCAGCGACGCCGCGUGAGGGAUGGAGGCCUUCGGGUUGUAAACCUCUUUUAUCGGGGAGCAAGCGUGAGUGAGUUUACCCGUUGAAUAAGCACCGGCUAACUACGUGCCAGCAGCCGCGGUAAUACGUAGGGUGCAAGCGUUAUCCGGAUUAUUGGGCGUAAAGGGCUCGUAGGCGGUUCGUCGCGUCCGGUGUGAAAGUCCAUCGCUUAACGGUGGAUCCGCGCCGGGUACGGGCGGGCUUGAGUGCGGUAGGGGAGACUGGAAUUCCCGGUGUAACGGUGGAAUGUGUAGAUAUCGGGAAGAACACCAAUGGCGAAGGCAGGUCUCUGGGCCGUUACUGACGCUGAGGAGCGAAAGCGUGGGGAGCGAACAGGAUUAGAUACCCUGGUAGUCCACGCCGUAAACGGUGGAUGCUGGAUGUGGGGCCCGUUCCACGGGUUCCGUGUCGGAGCUAACGCGUUAAGCAUCCCGCCUGGGGAGUACGGCCGCAAGGCUAAAACUCAAAGAAAUUGACGGGGGCCCGCACAAGCGGCGGAGCAUGCGGAUUAAUUCGAUGCAACGCGAAGAACCUUACCUGGGCUUG